AAAUAUGGUCCAGUGACCUUGCAGCUGGAAAUAACCCUUGAUAAAUCUGUGUGAAGAGCAGACUGGUGAUUCUCUAGCAAGGACCAAGUUUAAUGGUGUCUGCGUCUCUGCUUGUGCAUCCCUUCCCGACUGCUGCUUCGGGGAUCCCCCAGUUAUCAAGUGCUGGUCAGCAGUGAUGAUCAAAGCUGAAGUUGUACCUUACAGAAGUCAACUGAACUGGUGCAAUGUAGGGACAGGACCUGCAUCUGUGGAGGUAGUACCAGAUUGCAGAGACCAGAGCACUUCCAAGUUUCUACUUCAUCAGCUGUGACAGCACUGACUCCAACAGCCACCAGGUUUCUCCGUGUGCAGCAACCCCACAACAGAUAAUUCUGAUUGUUUGGAAUCCACUGUUUACCUUGCAGACUUCAUUGCUCCCUCUUUGCUUCCUUCUGGCUCUAACAUGAGCCAAUAACUUCCUCUACAGAAAUAAUUUCAGAAGUCUUGCCAGAAUAUGAUCAGGAUUUGUAAAAAUACUGCAGUCUUUGUAUUCCAGUUUCACUUUCUUUCAUUUCAUCUAUAGUUCCAGGGUUUUCUGCCAGGUCAUGUUUUGCUUGCACUUCUGCAGCGAGAAUAAUAUCUGUUCAAAAGCAUAAAGUUGGCAAAUUUGCAAAGAUGUACACUGAGAAAUUUGACAAAAUUAGGGUGGUGUUCCUGCUCCUGGUAGAGAUAUAUUUGCAUUGUGAGGACUUGCUGGUGAAGAUCACCUAUUAAUUAAGCUAAAUUCAAAACUCUUGCUUGGUGAAUAAGAUAGAUGGACAAUCUUUAACACAAAGCUCUUGUUCAUGGAAGCCGCUGCCUACAAGCAUCCCUGAGACCACUCAUUCAGAAAGGUGUCUCAGUAAAAAAAGUCUGCGAGACAGUUGUCAAGACUCUUUUGUAGCCUGCAGAAAGUAAAUGGCACUUUUAAGGCAUGUUUCAUCCCACUCAAUGUUCACAGUAGGUCAGAUUAUUGUCAUAGAAGCAGUUUUUCUACAGCAACUGUAAAGUGAGUUGAGGCAGUAACUAAGACCAAGAGAAUGGUUUUUCUUCAUAGAUCAAGGUCUAUUACAGUGUCACUCUACAAAUGACCAGUAAUGGAUUUAACUAUAGGGAACAGAUCAGGGAAACAGUGUUGGCUACUAGAGAAAGUCUGUUUUUAUCAUGAUAUGAAGUAUGUUUUUAAGGACACAAACAAGACCUGGCAGUGUGGACAGGAUUGGAUAAUGAUAACGUCUUCAUUUUAUGAUGUGACAGCACACAUGGCCACACAUUUUUGGUAAGUUACCUUUGUUCUAAUAAUCCAUGUUGUCCAUACUUAACAUACUGUAUCUAACUUUACUGUUGUCUGGUACACAGAAGAGUCCACAAAUUUAGAAAGUCAUAUCUUAUCUUCUAAACCGUUAACAACCUUUAUUACAGACAAAAAAUAUUUCCUUCAAAAUUUCAUGUUCUGAGGCCGUCCUGACUUAAAAAUAAAACAAAGAACAGCCAAUGAAAUUCAUCUGUCCUGGUUGUCACAGGGAUAGAGUUCAUUUUCUUCCUAGUAGCAGGUAUGGUUGAAUUCAGUGUGAGAAUAAUGUUGUUAACACACUGAUGGUUUGGCUGUUGCUAAGCAGUGCUUACCCUGAGUCAAGCACUGUGCAGGGUCUCAUGCUCUGCCAGUGAAUAGAUGCAUAAGAAGCUGCUAGGGACCACACAGGACAGGCGACCUGAACUGGCCAAAGGGAUGUUCCACACCAUAGAAAGUCAUGCCCGGUAUAUAAACUGGGGAGAGCUGGCCAGGAGAGACUGAUUGUUACUUGGCCAACAGGUGGUGAUCAGUUGUAUUUUGCAUCACUUGUCUUUCUUAGACUUUAUUCCUGUCUUUUUUUGUUAUCUCCCUCUUCAUCAUUUAGGAAUUUAGUGACUUGUUUGGUCUUUUUUUUAACAGCAUUUCCAUUACUAGAUUGGUGACCAAACUCACAGAUUUUACUUUUUUCUAAUUCUCCUUCCCAUUCCACUGUGGGGGGAAGGAAUGAGCCACUGCCUAGUACUGAAUUGCCAGGUGGGGUUAAAACCAUGACAGUGUCAUCCUAGAAGACACAGGCUUUGCAUCACAAAUGCCAAAGUAUCACAAGCAACUGCAUUAAAUUAUGCUAUAUGACAAAAAGAUCCAGAAGUUUUUUGCACAGAAAUGUAGCACUUUCCAACCUCCAGUGCCAUGCAUUGCUUAUCUGUUCCUUUGUCUAAAAGGAAAAAAAAUUCCGUAUCUUCUUUAGGGCUUCAUUAACAAAACUAAAAAUAACUAGAAUUGUUUACUCAAAGAAAAAAAAGAAAAGACUUAUGGGCAUAAAAUAAAAGAUCAAUCUUGAGAAAGAAAACAUCAUUUUUUGUUAACUCCUCAAACUAUACAGAACCAGAAAUUGACUAGAAUGAAAAACUGAGUAGAAUCAAAAACUGAGUAGAAAUAUCUCACAAUAUUCAAUGGAAAUAUUUUAAAAGAAAGAACAACCCCUCCUGAUUUGAAGACUAUGAUCAGAACUGCUUUUGAGUUUUCAGUUGUCCAUCAACCUUUAGUUCAGUUCCUCAGUGCACAGCAUAGGAAGCACUAGCUGUCUGUGUUGUUUUUUUCUGAGUCAGAGGAACUUAGACCAUACUGAAAAAAAUGAAAACCUGGUAGCAAUUAGCAACUGAUAUACUGAUGGCCCAACUCCAGAAAAGACUAUCAUGUGAUCUUCUCUCAUGCAACAGUAGAGCAACUGUUAUAACUGCUGUAACCUCUCUAUAUCCCCUUCUCCAGAGAUAAUUAAUGAUGACACAAAAAAGAUUAUGAGCCUACCCAGGCAACCCUGAGGUUUGACUUUGCAGGUUGCCUACACGUAAUUUAAGGAAGGUUUAGCUGCUCAGCAAAAAUGUUGAGACAGGUGACAGCUUAAGGCAGAGGAAGGACAGCUCUAAAACGUCAAAGUCUCUCUGACACGCAUGAUGCUCUUUGAUUCCAGCACAACUUACUGGUAGCACUGCAUGGGCCAUCUGUAGAUCAGGAAGGUGGAAAACCCUCCAAAUUUUGUAAGGUGCAGAUAAUAAACAGAAGUAGCUGACAUCUAAAUUUAAUACAGUUGCUUUCUCACAUGCAUUGCAACUACAAUACAACUCUUAACUAAAGAACUCACUUAAGAGGUCACAGUAACAGAGAGUUUAGAAAAGGAUAAAAAUUGCUUCAGCGAUAGUAUCAAUCAUAAACUUUUGGCAAAGGUUUCAGCACAAGAUCUCUGUGACUUAAGAAAUAGAACUGUAUUACAAUAAUGUCUUUGACAACUCUACAACUGUGUUGAAAGGCAAAUUUAAGGGAGAAAAAUUAUUUUGUAAGGGCUGGAUCCAGAUGGUCAGGCAGAGGACACUAGAGAAAAUAAUCAGUCUGGAGGGUCUCCCAGUUGCACUCCAUCUGUCAGACAGAUCACAACCUCAGAUAUUAAGAAGAAAAGAAGGGUGGUUUUAGUAGGCGAGUCCCUUCUGAGGGGAAUUGAGGGCCCUGUAUGUCAACUGACCCAUCCCAGGAAAGUCUGCUGCCUCCAUGUGGUCUGAGUAUGGGAUAUUACCAGGAGACUCGCUGAACUAAUUCAGCCUUGUGAUUAUUAUGACCCACUGCUGGUCAUCAAGGCUGGCAGUGAUGAGGUUGAUAAGGAGAGUAAUUAAAAUGGGCUUCAAGGCUCCAAGUUGGUUCAUUGAUGGGACAAGAGCACAGGUGGUGUUCUGCUCAAUUCCUUCAGUUCAGGGAUGAAAGACAAAAUGAACAGGAAAACCCAUAUUAUCAAUAAGUGGCUUGAGGACUGAUGCCAUCAGCAGAAUUUUGUUUUUUCCCCUGUAGUCGGCACUUCCCACUGGUGAGGCCACACAUUGAGUUCUGUGUCCAUUUCUGGGCCCCCAACUCAGGAGGAACACUGAUGUGCUGGAGUGAGCCCAGAGAAGGGCAACAAGGCUGGUGAGGCGUCUGAAGCACAAGUCCUGUGACGAGCAGCUGAGGCAA
Long non-coding RNA from Corvus hawaiiensis (hawaiian crow), 4027 nucleotides. RefSeq lists it as uncharacterized. Lineage: Eukaryota; Metazoa; Chordata; Aves; Passeriformes; Corvidae. The transcript is spliced from 3 exons. The record is from RefSeq and is a predicted model, not a curated record.